UUUACGUACAACCCGCAUUAAGGUGAAACCGCGAAAGGCUCAUUAAAUCAGUUAUGGUUCCUUAGAUCGUACCCACAUUUACUUGGAUAACUGUGGUAAUUCUAGAGCUAAUACAUGCAAACAGAGCUCCGACCGGAGACGGGAGGAGUGCUUUUAUUAGAUUAAAACCAAUCGGCGGCAGUAGCGUUUCGGCGUUAUUGUUCGUCGCACUUUUUGGUGACUCUGAAUAACUUUUGGCUGAUCGCACGGUCUCGCACCGGCGACGCAUCUUUCAAAUGUCUGCCUUAUCAACUGUCGAUGGUAGGUUCUGCGCCUACCAUGGUUGUAACGGGUAACGGGGAAUCAGGGUUCGAUUCCGGAGAGGGAGCCUGAGAAACGGCUACCACAUCCAAGGAAGGCAGCAGGCGCGCAAAUUACCCACUCCCGGCACGGGGAGGUAGUGACGAAAAAUAACGAUACGGGACUCAUCCGAGGCCCCGUAAUCGGAAUGAGUACACUUUAAAUCCUUUAACAAGGACCCAUUGAAGGGCAAGUCUGGUGCCAGCAGCCGCGGUAAUCCCAGCUUCAAUAGCGUAUAUUAAAGUUGUUGCGGUUAAAAAGCUCGUAGUUGAAUCUGUGUGUCGCGCUGUCGGUUCACCGCCCGCGGUGUUUAACUGGCACGUCCGCGAUACGUCCUGCCGGUGGAUGUGGGAUCUUUGUUUACUUCCCCACUAUGCGUGUGCAACCUUCACCGGUUGUUACUGUAUAGUGCGGUGGGGUUUCAAAUGUAUCACCAUCCGACUCAAUAAUCCUGUCGCGGUGCUCUUAAUUGAGUGUCGAGGCGGGCCGGCACGUUUACUUUGAACAAAUUAGAGUGCUCAAAGCAGGCUAAAAUUUCGCCUGAAUAUUGUGUGCAUGGAAUAAUGGAACAGGACCUCGGUUCUAUUUUGUUGGUUUUCGGAACCCCGAGGUAAUGAUUAAUAGGGACAGAUGGGGGCAUUCGUAUUGCGACGUUAGAGGUGAAAUUCUUGGAUCGUCGCAAGACGGACAGAAGCGAAAGCAUUUGCCAAAAAUGUUUUCAUUAAUCAAGAACGAAAGUCAGAGGUUCGAAGGCGAUCAGAUACCGCCCUAGUUCUGACCAUAAACGAUGCCAGCUAGCGAUCCGCCGACGUUCCUCCGAUGACUCGGCGGGCAGCUUCCGGGAAACCAAAGCUUUUGGGUUCCGGGGGAAGUAUGGUUGCAAAGCUGAAACUUAAAGGAAUUGACGGAAGGGCACCACCAGGAGUGGAGCCUGCGGCUUAAUUUGACUCAACACGGGGAAUCUUACUAGGCCCGGACACUGGAAGGAUUGACAGAUUGAGAGCUCUUUCUUGAUUCAGUGGGUGGUGGUGCAUGGCCGUUCUUAGUUCAUGGAGUGAUUUGUCUGGUUAAUUCCGAUAACGAACGAGACUCUAGCCUGCUAACUAGGCGUUACUUCCGGUAUCCUGAAGGCUCGUGUCUUCCGUCGCCUGGCCUACUCUUGUGUCUUGUAUUAUGUGCAUUUCAUUUGGUUCGUCCAGGUCGGGAGCUCACGGUUUUUACUACCGGCGUACAUAUAAAUCUUCUUAGAGGGACAGGCGGCUCUUAGCCGCACGAGAUUGAGCAAUAACAGGUCUGUAAUGCCCUUAGAUGUUCUGGGCCGCACGCGCGCUACACUGAAGGAAUCAGCGUGUCUUCCCUGGCCGAACGGUCCGGGUAACCCGCUGAACCUCCUUCGUGCUAGGGAUUGGGGCUUGCAAUUGUUCCCCAUGAACGAGGAAUUCCCAGUAAGCGCGAGUCAUAAGCUUGCGUUGAUUAAGUCCCUGCCCUUUGUCCACACCGCCCGUCGCUACUGCCGAUUGAAUGAUUUAAUGAGGUCUUCGGACUGGUGCCCGGCGCGUUUUGACGUCGCCGAUGCGCUGGGAAGAUGACCAAAUUUGAUUAUUUAGA
This 1947-nucleotide ribosomal RNA is filed under the name Amerizus (Tiruka) sp. DRM-2012. RNAcentral describes it as "SSU rRNA". It matches the Rfam family "Eukaryotic small subunit ribosomal RNA". The record is from RNAcentral. Lineage: Eukaryota; Metazoa; Arthropoda; Insecta; Coleoptera; Carabidae.